GGGGAAUAUUGCGCAAUGGGGGGAACCCUGACGCAGCCAUGCCGCGUGAAUGAAGAAGGCCUUCGGGUUGUAAAGUUCUUUCGGUAUUGAGGAAGGUUGAUGUGUUAAUAGUACAUCAAAUUGACGUUAAAUACAGAAGAAGCACCGGCUAACUCCGUGCCAGCAGCCGCGGUAAUACGGAGGGUGCGAGCGUUAAUCGGAAUAACUGGGCGUAAAGGGCACGCAGGCGGUUAUUUAAGUGAGGUGUGAAAGCCCCGGGCUUAACCUGGGAAUUGCAUUUCAGACUGGGUAACUAGAGUACUUUAGGGAGGGGUAGAAUUCCACGUGUAGCGGUGAAAUGCGUAGAGAUGUGGAGGAAUACCGAAGGCAAAGGCAGCCCCUUGGGAAUGUACUGACGCUCAUGUGCGAAAGCGUGGGGAGCAAACAGGAUUAGAUACCCUGGUAGUCCACGCUGUAAACGCUGUCGAUUUGGGGAUUGGGCUUAGAGCUUGGUGCCCGUAGCUAACGUGAUAAAUCGACCGCCUGGGGAGUACGGCCGCAAGGUUA
This 546-nucleotide ribosomal RNA is filed under the name uncultured bacterium. Its description in RNAcentral is "bacterial SSU rRNA". It matches the Rfam family "Bacterial small subunit ribosomal RNA", at positions 356 to 896 of the family's 1533-position model. The record is from RNAcentral.